This 552-nucleotide ribosomal RNA is filed under the name Bacillus sp. (in: firmicutes). RNAcentral describes it as "bacterial SSU rRNA". It matches the Rfam family "Bacterial small subunit ribosomal RNA", at positions 367 to 915 of the family's 1533-position model. Lineage: Bacteria; Bacillati; Bacillota; Bacilli; Caryophanales; Bacillaceae. The record is from RNAcentral.
CGCAAUGGACGAAAGUCUGACGGAGCAACGCCUCGUGAGUGAGGAAGGCCUUCGGAUUGUAAAACUCUUUUGUUUGGGAAGAACGGUGCUAGUUGAUAACUUGGUGUUUUUGCCUUUCCCUAACAAGAAACCCCCGCCAAAUUCCUUGCCACCACCCCCGUUAUAACAUAGGUGCCAACCUUUAUCCGAAUUUAUGGGCCUUAAACCCCCCUAAGUUGUUUUCCUAAUUCUAAGUUAAAUCCCCACGCUUCACCCGUGAACUGCCUCUGAAAACUGGGAGACUUGAGUGCAUAAAAGGAAAUGGAAAUUCCUUGUGUACCGUUAAAUUGCUUAAAGAUAUAAAGAAACACCAUUGCCAAAGGCAACUUUCUGAUCUGUAAUUGACCUUGAGUCCCAAAACCUUGGGAACCAAACAGAAUUAUAACCGGUACCACGCCGUAAACGAUGAGUGCUAAGCCUUAGAGGGUUUCCGCCCUUUAGUGCUGAAGUUAACGCAUUAAGCACUUUGCCUGGGGAGUACGGCCGCAAGGCUGAAACUCAAAGGAAUUGACG